RNAcentral lists this ribosomal RNA (255 nucleotides) under uncultured bacterium. RNAcentral describes it as "partial 16S ribosomal RNA". It matches the Rfam family "Bacterial small subunit ribosomal RNA", at positions 524 to 776 of the family's 1533-position model. The record is from RNAcentral.
UACGGAGGGUGCAAGCGUUAUCCGGAUUCACUGGGUUUAAAGGGUGCGUAGGAGGGCAGGUAAGUCAGUGGUGAAAUCUCCAAGCUUAACUUGGAAACUGCCGUUGAUACUAUCUGUCUUGAAUACCGUGGAGAUGAGCGGAAUAUGUCAUGUAGCGGUGAAAUGCUUAGAUAUGACAUAGAACACCAAUUGCGAAGGCAGCUCGCUACACGAAAUAUUGACUCUGAGGCACGAAAAGCGUGGGGAUCAAACAGG